RNAcentral lists this long non-coding RNA (1226 nucleotides) under Ursus americanus (American black bear). Its description in RNAcentral is "lncRNA (ENSUAMG00000021146.1)". The record is from RNAcentral. Lineage: Eukaryota; Metazoa; Chordata; Mammalia; Carnivora; Ursidae.
CUGAAGUCCUAUAAAGACCCAUGGAGGGUCCUCAGCCUGAGUUCUCUGGGAACUUACUGUCCUUUUCAAGAAGGGUUCUCUCCUAGGUGAGGGAUCUGCCGGUGGCUUUUGUGAUCUGCCCGAGGUUCCUCAGAAGCAAAGCAUGGGAACGAGAAACGGGGUCACCCACGCUGGGCGCCACCGCUGUGACUGGGGCCUUGACCCGACCGAGGCGCUCAGGACGCUCACGGACUGCAGAGCAGAAGGAACAUAUGCAAGUUCGGAGCCGCGCUACCCACCGGCACCUCGGACGCUGCUCACACCACCUUCCCAGCAAGACGCCACCUGUCGCUGACUGCAGAAGGACUCCAUUAUGCCCUGCUGGGAUGUCACCUCCUGGCCGUCCCUGAGGGGACAGGUUAAGGCCAUUAAGAGGAGGCUUCGUACUAAAGAGGAAACACUUUUGAGGGGCUACAGUUGUAACAGGGAAUUGACGUGAGGAUUUGGACAGCAUCGUUCUUCUGAGAACCUCUUUGGGCUUCAUGGCUGACUCUUUAACUCACAUUAAAUUGAGGGCUGGUGGGUUAAAAACCAGAGGUGAAGUCAGCCUUUCUAGGGAUAGACUCCUGUGAAUUAUGCAAGUGUUAUGUAAAGUCAUUAAUUCCCAAGCUGAACAACAAGAUGACAGAUGGCUAAGAACAGAUGUGCAGCCCAGAGUGAGCCUUGUGUUUUGGGCAGACUUCAGUGACGUCUUAAAGGUGUGGGGCUCUGAGGGCUAUUAAGGCAAUGAGCUCCCUACAUCGGCAGCAUUUAAACCCCCAAAGCAAUUAAGACAAUGCAUUAACGGAGAAGCUUGAAAUCAGACAACACAUAAUACUCGAUGUAGAAAACAUUCCAGCUUCCAUAAUUCUUUAUUAAAUAUUUGACAAGUUGUAUCACUUCUUUACAACGACUUCAUUUUGUCACAUUACUCUUUUGCUGUCAGGAAAACAAUCUACAAUUUCUCUUUAGAUCUCUCAAGAAAAAUGAAAAGCAAAAAAGGAUUUGUUCCUAAACAAAACUUUUCCUGUAUCAAAUUCAACCAUGUUUUAAAGCCAUUCUGAUUGUGAAAAGGAGCGUUAUCCGGAAGUUGUCUUUAAAAAAUUUCAAAGCAGUUUGGUUUGUAAUCACCGUAUCAAAUAGUACUUGGCUUUGUAUUAUUAGGGGGUGGGGUUUAUAAUAAAAAGUUACGAAACAUUGAGAAUUCA